Molecule: ribosomal RNA, 252 nt
Filed under: Copelatus sp. MB0402
Lineage: Eukaryota; Metazoa; Arthropoda; Insecta; Coleoptera; Dytiscidae
Description: partial 18S ribosomal RNA
Rfam family: Eukaryotic small subunit ribosomal RNA
Source: RNAcentral
CGUUCGCCGCUCAACCUGGUGACUCUGAAUAACUUUCGGCUGAUCGCACGGUCCAGCACCGGCGACGCAUCUUUCAAAUGUCUGCCUUAUCAACUGUCGAUGGUAGGUUCUGCGCCUACCAUGGUCGUAACGGGUAACGGGGAAUCAGGGUUCGAUUCCGGAGAGGGAGCCUGAGAAACGGCUACCACAUCCAAGGAAGGCAGCAGGCGCGCAAAUUACCCACUCCCGGCACGGGGAGGUAGUGACGAAAAA